This 456-nucleotide ribosomal RNA is filed under the name uncultured bacterium. RNAcentral's name for it is "bacterial SSU rRNA". It matches the Rfam family "Bacterial small subunit ribosomal RNA", at positions 57 to 507 of the family's 1533-position model. The record is from RNAcentral.
GCAAGUCGAGCGGGCGAGGUUGCUUCGGUAACUGAGCUAGCGGCGGACGGGUGAGUAAUGCUUAGGAAUCUGCCUAUUAGGGGGGGACAACAUUCCGAAAGGGAUGCUAAUACCGCAUACGUCCUACGGGAGAAAGCAGGGGAUCAUUUGACCUUGCCCUAAUAGAUGAGCCUAAGUCGGAUUAGCUAGUUGGGGGGGUAAGGGCCUACCAAGGCGACAAUCUGUAGCGGGUCUGAGAGGAUGAUCCGCCACACUGGGACUGAGACACGGCCCAAACUCCUACGGGAGGCAGCAGUGGGGAAUAUUGGACAAUGGGGGGAACCCUGAUCCAGCCAUGCCGCGUGUGUGAAGAAGGCCUUUUGGUUGUAAAGCACUUUAAGUGGGGAGGAGGCUUACCUGGUUAAUACCUGGGCUAAGUGGACGUUACCCACAAAAUAAGCACCGGCUAACUCUGUG